ACAAGGGCCACGCCCCCUGCCGUCGCCCCGCGGGCGCGCACCCGCCACUCCGGCCGCCGCCGGUACAUUUCCACUCUCCCAGCGCCUCUCCCCCGCCGGACUCCCGCGCGGCCCGGGAGGUGGGGGCUGUUCCCGACCCCAGUCCGCGCCCCUGGCGCCGAGGCUCCGCACCCUCCAUACUCACCUGGAAAGGGUGGCCCCCGCCCCUCCAAAAAACUGUCUAAUUUGUGCAGAGCCUCCAAGCCCAGGAGCCGAGCAUGCUGCCCCCGCGUGCAGCGCCCGCGUGCACCGGGCCGGGAGAGGGGGCGACAGGGCGGAGGCGGUGGCCCCCGGAAGGUGUCUGGGACCGGACCGGCUGCACGUGAGCCCAGCGCGAGGUCAUGUGCACCGGCUCAGCCCGGUUCGGCGCCCAGACGUGCUGCGUAUCAACAAAAUGAAACUCGGGGAGACAGGAGAACAGAUAGCUCCCGGUUCUCAGAGCCCCCGCCCUGGCCACUCAACCUCCCCACCGUACCCAUCUCCCGCCGCAGCCCCUACGCCCGGCCGGAGCCCGCGGGGCAAGUUGCAGCCCAGGCGCGCCCCCGCCCGCCCGCGCCCCCUCCGGCCCGGGGGCGCUUUGCCGCAGUCAUUAAUAAAGAAGGUCGCCAAGCUCACCCUUCCAAAAGUUGUUGCUGCAUGCGCCCCUCUCAGCCUCCCCGCACUGUACUCUUUAAAACACGACUGACCAACAUGCGCAAUCUCUCUCCCCUGUGCUGUGCAUUCCCCCCCCCUCCGCGCUGGCUUCCUAGAACAGGCAGCCAGCAGGAGAGAGAGGGAGCGAGCGAGCAAGAGAGCGAGGGAGCGAGGAGCGCUGGCAGAUCUGUUGCAAAAACACCAAAUAAUGUCGUGGAGAUGCGCAGGGCCCAUCCGCCGGGGGCUGGAUCUUACCUUGCUCCGCGGUACCCCCCUGAGGGGCGCUGCCCGCGGCUACGCGCCGCUGCAGGGACCGGCGCGGGAAGGAUGCUCCCGAAGCCGGGAGCUCCUGGGGCCGGCGCGGGAGGGCGGGGGGCGCUCAUCCAUCCGGGGUCGCGGCGAGGGAGGCGGUGGGGCCCGUGGCGUCCCCGGCCCCACGCCCCCCGCCGGGGACAGUCAGCCCGCCAGACCUGA
Molecule: long non-coding RNA, 1146 nt
Filed under: Callithrix jacchus (white-tufted-ear marmoset)
Lineage: Eukaryota; Metazoa; Chordata; Mammalia; Primates; Cebidae
Description: lncRNA (ENSCJAG00000072215.1)
Source: RNAcentral